Long non-coding RNA from Oenanthe melanoleuca, 453 nucleotides. RefSeq lists it as uncharacterized. Lineage: Eukaryota; Metazoa; Chordata; Aves; Passeriformes; Muscicapidae. The transcript is spliced from 3 exons. The record is from RefSeq and is a predicted model, not a curated record.
GGUGCUGUGUCCUGACAGCUCUCCUCAGAGCUUGCAGACUUUGCUGGGAAUUUUUAAUUGCUCAUUGCUCUGGAAGAAUAAAAUGUCUGCUCACGGAUUCACAGAACUGCUUCCUAUCGACCCGAUUAAAAUUUUUGAUGAAAAUGAGCUGGAGUUACUGAUGUGUGGCCUUGGUGACGUGGAUGUCAGCGGCUGGAGACAACACACCAUCUACAAAAAUGGUUACUGCCCAAAUCACCCUGUUAUCCGGUGGUUCUGGAAGGUAAGACUGGGCACCAGCCCUAGCUGGUCCUGUAGGUGAAAGUCCCUGCCCUUUUUUGCAAUCAUUUUUCUGUAUGAGAACUGCUCAGGGUGGGUGGUUGUGCUGGGGCAGGAGCUGCUCCCUCCUGGCUCAGGUGAGGGCAGGUGCAGCUCCUGCUCAGAUGGAGCAGAGGCAGCCCAUAGUGCCCUGAG